AGCACUGCCCUGAAAAGUGAAAUCCACUGUUUAUCCACAGAACAGGGGUAGCACGGGCAGUUGCACUGCAAGUUUCCCCGGCAUUGCCCUGCUAAUGUGCCUUAACCUUGCCCUGGAGGAACCUCUUUUAGAGCGGAUGGAGUGGUUCAGUCUGCGUGUUCAGUCACUCUUUAGCCUCU
This is an unclassified non-coding RNA of Gopherus agassizii (Agassiz's desert tortoise), 179 nucleotides long. Lineage: Eukaryota; Metazoa; Chordata; Testudines; Testudinidae. The record is from Ensembl.